This is a long non-coding RNA of Saccostrea cuccullata (small rock oyster), 622 nucleotides long. RefSeq lists it as uncharacterized. The transcript is spliced from 5 exons. Lineage: Eukaryota; Metazoa; Mollusca; Bivalvia; Ostreida; Ostreidae. The record is from RefSeq and is a predicted model, not a curated record.
CUUUUCGGAAUUUAAAAAAAAAUAUUUUAAACCCCGCUCAAAUUAUCCGGAUGAUAAUAGUUACACCGAACAUGGUUUCGUAAUUAAAUUCAAACUGUAGAACAUCCGGUUUGAAUACCACAUGUGUUUUCUGACUUUUGGGAGCCAACUCUUGUUUUUUUUGGAACUUACGACUUAUGGCAAGAGAGAAGAAAACUGUGUAACUUUAAAAGAAAACCAGUGAGAUAAAAUCAUAGAAAAUGUAUGAUGAUUCAGGAUGUGGUCAUUUGUGACAUUAAAACAGGAAUUAUCUUCACCAAUAGACGAAUUUCACAUUCCUAAGAGUUUUUUCCAAUUGUUGGCGUAUCGCUCAUUUUUUCCACUUUGUCCUUUGUCCUGUUCUGUGGAUGCCCUAAGACAGUGUCUACCCAUCACUCCAUCUGAUAUCACUUGUUCUGAGCAUAUUUCUCUCUCAAACUUAAACUACAGAGAGCCUGUGGAUAGUGGAUGAAGAGUGACCUUGGACCAAUUUUCUAGGUCAAAGAUCAAAGGUGAUGUGAAGAAAUCCAGGAAACUGAUGUUGAAAGAAGUACUUAAUUACCCUUAUGAAUGGACUUAAAUGUGAAAGACUGUUCCAUUGUUU